RNAcentral lists this ribosomal RNA (2921 nucleotides) under Staphylococcus aureus WMCS6019. Its description in RNAcentral is "bacterial LSU rRNA". It matches the Rfam family "Bacterial large subunit ribosomal RNA". The record is from RNAcentral. Lineage: Bacteria; Bacillati; Bacillota; Bacilli; Caryophanales; Staphylococcaceae.
UUAAGUUAUUAAGGGCGCACGGUGGAUGCCUUGGCACUAGAAGCCGAUGAAGGACGUUACUAACGACGAUAUGCUUUGGGGAGCUGUAAGUAAGCUUUGAUCCAGAGAUUUCCGAAUGGGGAAACCCAGCAUGAGUUAUGUCAUGUUAUCGAUAUGUGAAUACAUAGCAUAUCAGAAGGCACACCCGGAGAACUGAAACAUCUUAGUACCCGGAGGAAGAGAAAGAAAAUUCGAUUCCCUUAGUAGCGGCGAGCGAAACGGGAAGAGCCCAAACCAACAAGCUUGCUUGUUGGGGUUGUAGGACACUCUAUACGGAGUUACAAAGGACGACAUUAGACGAAUCAUCUGGAAAGAUGAAUCAAAGAAGGUAAUAAUCCUGUAGUCGAAAAUGUUGUCUCUCUUGAGUGGAUCCUGAGUACGACGGAGCACGUGAAAUUCCGUCGGAAUCUGGGAGGACCAUCUCCUAAGGCUAAAUACUCUCUAGUGACCGAUAGUGAACCAGUACCGUGAGGGAAAGGUGAAAAGCACCCCGGAAGGGGAGUGAAAUAGAACCUGAAACCGUGUGCUUACAAGUAGUCAGAGCCCGUUAAUGGGUGAUGGCGUGCCUUUUGUAGAAUGAACCGGCGAGUUACGAUUUGAUGCAAGGUUAAGCAGUAAAUGUGGAGCCGUAGCGAAAGCGAGUCUGAAUAGGGCGUUUAGUAUUUGGUCGUAGACCCGAAACCAGGUGAUCUACCCUUGGUCAGGUUGAAGUUCAGGUAACACUGAAUGGAGGACCGAACCGACUUACGUUGAAAAGUGAGCGGAUGAACUGAGGGUAGCGGAGAAAUUCCAAUCGAACCUGGAGAUAGCUGGUUCUCUCCGAAAUAGCUUUAGGGCUAGCCUCAAGUGAUGAUUAUUGGAGGUAGAGCACUGUUUGGACGAGGGGCCCCUCUCGGGUUACCGAAUUCAGACAAACUCCGAAUGCCAAUUAAUUUAACUUGGGAGUCAGAACAUGGGUGAUAAGGUCCGUGUUCGAAAGGGAAACAGCCCAGACCACCAGCUAAGGUCCCAAAAUAUAUGUUAAGUGGAAAAGGAUGUGGCGUUGCCCAGACAACUAGGAUGUUGGCUUAGAAGCAGCCAUCAUUUAAAGAGUGCGUAAUAGCUCACUAGUCGAGUGACACUGCGCCGAAAAUGUACCGGGGCUAAACAUAUUACCGAAGCUGUGGAUUGUCCUUUGGACAAUGGUAGGAGAGCGUUCUAAGGGCGUUGAAGCAUGAUCGUAAGGACAUGUGGAGCGCUUAGAAGUGAGAAUGCCGGUGUGAGUAGCGAAAGACGGGUGAGAAUCCCGUCCACCGAUUGACUAAGGUUUCCAGAGGAAGGCUCGUCCGCUCUGGGUUAGUCGGGUCCUAAGCUGAGGCCGACAGGCGUAGGCGAUGGAUAACAGGUUGAUAUUCCUGUACCACCUAUAAUCGUUUUAAUCGAUGGGGGGACGCAGUAGGAUAGGCGAAGCGUGCGAUUGGAUUGCACGUCUAAGCAGUAAGGCUGAGUAUUAGGCAAAUCCGGUACUCAUUAAGGCUGAGCUGUGAUGGGGAGAAGACAUUGUGUCUUCGAGUCGUUGAUUUCACACUGCCGAGAAAAGCCUCUAGAUAGAAAAUAGGUGCCCGUACCGCAAACCGACACAGGUAGUCAAGAUGAGAAUUCUAAGGUGAGCGAGCGAACUCUCGUUAAGGAACUCGGCAAAAUGACCCCGUAACUUCGGGAGAAGGGGUGCUCUUUAGGGUUAACGCCCAGAAGAGCCGCAGUGAAUAGGCCCAAGCGACUGUUUAUCAAAAACACAGGUCUCUGCUAAACCGUAAGGUGAUGUAUAGGGGCUGACGCCUGCCCGGUGCUGGAAGGUUAAGAGGAGUGGUUAGCUUCUGCGAAGCUACGAAUCGAAGCCCCAGUAAACGGCGGCCGUAACUAUAACGGUCCUAAGGUAGCGAAAUUCCUUGUCGGGUAAGUUCCGACCCGCACGAAAGGCGUAACGAUUUGGGCACUGUCUCAACGAGAGACUCGGUGAAAUCAUAGUACCUGUGAAGAUGCAGGUUACCCGCGACAGGACGGAAAGACCCCGUGGAGCUUUACUGUAGCCUGAUAUUGAAAUUCGGCACAGCUUGUACAGGAUAGGUAGGAGCCUUUGAAACGUGAGCGCUAGCUUACGUGGAGGCGCUGGUGGGAUACUACCCUAGCUGUGUUGGCUUUCUAACCCGCACCACUUAUCGUGGUGGGAGACAGUGUCAGGCGGGCAGUUUGACUGGGGCGGUCGCCUCCUAAAAGGUAACGGAGGCGCUCAAAGGUUCCCUCAGAAUGGUUGGAAAUCAUUCAUAGAGUGUAAAGGCAUAAGGGAGCUUGACUGCGAGACCUACAAGUCGAGCAGGGUCGAAAGACGGACUUAGUGAUCCGGUGGUUCCGCAUGGAAGGGCCAUCGCUCAACGGAUAAAAGCUACCCCGGGGAUAACAGGCUUAUCUCCCCCAAGAGUUCACAUCGACGGGGAGGUUUGGCACCUCGAUGUCGGCUCAUCGCAUCCUGGGGCUGUAGUCGGUCCCAAGGGUUGGGCUGUUCGCCCAUUAAAGCGGUACGCGAGCUGGGUUCAGAACGUCGUGAGACAGUUCGGUCCCUAUCCGUCGUGGGCGUAGGAAAUUUGAGAGGAGCUGUCCUUAGUACGAGAGGACCGGGAUGGACAUACCUCUGGUGUACCAGUUGUCGUGCCAACGGCAUAGCUGGGUAGCUAUGUGUGGACGGGAUAAGUGCUGAAAGCAUCUAAGCAUGAAGCCCCCCUCAAGAUGAGAUUUCCCAACUUCGGUUAUAAGAUCCCUCAAAGAUGAUGAGGUUAAUAGGUUCGAGGUGGAAGCAUGGUGAUAUGUGGAGCUGACGAAUACUAAUCGAUCGAAGACUUAAUCAA